GGGCCCGCACAAGCGGUGGAGUAUGUGGUUUAAUUCGAUGCAACGCGAAGAACCUUACCAGGGUUUGACAUCCUGCGAAUCUCUUGGAAACGAGAGAGUGCCUUCGGGAGCGCAGUGACAGGUGGUGCAUGGCUGUCGUCAGCUCGUGUCGUGAGAUGUUGGGUUAAGUCCCGCAACGAGCGCAACCCACGUCUUUAGUUGCCAGCAUUUAGUUGGGCACUCUAGAGAGACCGCCGGUGAUAAACCGGAGGAAGGUGUGGAUGACGUCAAGUCAUCAUGCCCCUUACAUCCUGGGCUACACACGUACUACAAUGGCCGGUACAGAGGGCAGCUACACUGCGAAGUGAUGCAAAUCUCGAAAGCCGGUCUCAGUUCGGAUUGGAGUCUGCAACUCGACUCUAUG
RNAcentral lists this ribosomal RNA (403 nucleotides) under uncultured bacterium. Its description in RNAcentral is "bacterial SSU rRNA". It matches the Rfam family "Bacterial small subunit ribosomal RNA", at positions 917 to 1322 of the family's 1533-position model. The record is from RNAcentral.